RNAcentral lists this non-coding RNA (112 nucleotides) under Platyophrya macrostoma. Lineage: Eukaryota; Ciliophora; Colpodea; Cyrtolophosidida; Platyophryidae. The record is from RNAcentral.
UUGUCCUGUGUGUCCAAUUGAAGGAACUGCAUUCGCAGAGCUUCGAUUCCCAGCGGUGCUUGAUUCUGCUGCUUUUGAAGGAAAGCGUGUUGUGUACCAUGUCCAGAUGUUC